RNAcentral lists this ribosomal RNA (433 nucleotides) under uncultured bacterium. Its description in RNAcentral is "partial 16S ribosomal RNA". It matches the Rfam family "Bacterial small subunit ribosomal RNA", at positions 29 to 507 of the family's 1533-position model. The record is from RNAcentral.
AACGAACGCUGGCGGCAUGCCUAACACAUGCAAGUCGAACGAGACCUUCGGGUCUAGUGGCGAACGGGUGCGUAACGCGUGGGAACCUGCCCUUAGGUUCGGAAUAACUCCCCGAAAGGGGUGCUAAUACCGGUUAAUGUCUUCGGACCAAAGAUUUAUCGCCUUUGGAUGGGCCCGCGUUGGAUUAGCUAGUUGGUAGGGUAAAAGCCUACCAAGGCGACGAUACAUAGCUGGUCUGAGAGGAUGAUCAGCCACACUGGGACUGAGACACGGCCCAGACUCCUACGGGAGGCAGCAGUGGGGAAUAUUGGACAAUGGGCGAAAGCCUGAUCCAGCAAUGCCGCGUGAGUGAUGAAGGCCUUAGGGUUGUAAAGCUCUUUUACCCGGGAUGAUAAUGACAGUACCGGCAGAAUAAGCGCCGGCUAACUCCGUG